This 704-nucleotide long non-coding RNA is filed under the name Manihot esculenta (cassava). RNAcentral's name for it is "long non-coding RNA (MESC_LNC003664)". The record is from RNAcentral. Lineage: Eukaryota; Viridiplantae; Streptophyta; Magnoliopsida; Malpighiales; Euphorbiaceae.
GGUUGAUUGUUAUUCCGCCAACUCCAUCUAAAACAUCUAGAAAUUUGUAUUAUCAGUUUUAUCGAUUGGAAAUUACUGAUGAUAGCUCUGUUUGUUUCUGAUUCUGAUAGGCAACAGCAUUUGGCAUGAAGAGUGUUGUCUAUGUGCCUCGGAUUAAACCAGACACAAUUGCUGCACUUUCUGCACUAUGUGAGAAGGCCAGCAUGGUGAGCACAGGGUGAGACAUUGUUGCAGUUAAGCUUUAGUUCAUUGUUUUUACCUAUGAUGAACGCUUCCCAUUAUUCAAAAGACCCAGCAUUUUGUUUUCCAAAAUUGUUGCAUUUAAAUCGGCUGCACUAAUGACAGGGUUGUCUGAUUGCACCAACACUAUCCAUAGGAUCUAUACUCCUCCAGCAGGCUGCCAUCUCAGCUUCUUUCCACUACAACAAUGUAGAAAUCGUGGAAUCAAGGUCACAUGCAACAGUAAGUGAAAUGAACUAUACAUAUAGAUCUGCACAUGUAUAAAGUAAAUAAGAGUUGCCCUUUUGCGAAUCUCUAAUUCUCUUCACAUGUAACAAUGAAGUAAGCAUUGUGGACGAAGCACUCAAUGUACUCAAAUUGUCUUUCACACACAGGAUCUUCCAUCACCAGAUGCACACCAAAUUGCAAAGAACCUCUCCAAUCUGGGCCAGCUCUAUAAUAGAGAAGAUCUAUCAACAGAUGUU